UUUAGCUUUUUUUUUUUUCUUUCUUUUUUUUUCUGAAUGCCCAAAUUGAAAUUUCAUGUAAAACACAAUGACCAAAAAAGUAUUUAACCCUUCAAUAAAUAUCCUCCAGAAUAAAGAGUACAAAUACAGGCACUAAAUUGCUAAAUUAGAAUUUGACCCAAAAAAAUUUGCUAAAUUAGAAACACAUGGCUAAAUUGGCAAAUAGGGCAAAUAAAGAAAGAAUUUAAUGCUAGUAUAAACGACAGGAAUAAAUUAUGCAUAUAUGCAUUCAUACUUUCAUAUCCGAUGGCACUUUUCUGGAGAGGAAUUGGUUGGGAAGGGGGAAUCCACCGCCACUGUGGUGGGAACCCAUUGGCCUCUACGACAAUACUUGG
RNAcentral lists this long non-coding RNA (374 nucleotides) under Prunus persica (peach). RNAcentral's name for it is "long non-coding RNA (PPER_LNC001993)". Lineage: Eukaryota; Viridiplantae; Streptophyta; Magnoliopsida; Rosales; Rosaceae. The record is from RNAcentral.